AAGGCAGCCCCCUGGGAUAACACUGACGCUCAUGCACGAAAGCGUGGGGAGCAAACAGGAUUAGAUACCCUGGUAGUCCACGCCCUAAACGAUGCUGACUAGUUGUUGGGAAUUUACAUUCUCAGUAACGUAGCUAACGCGUGAAGUCAGCCGCCUGGGGAGUACGGUCGCAAGAUUAAAACUCAAAGGAAUUGACGGGGACCCGCACAAGCGGUGGAUGAUGUGGAUUAAUUCGAUGCAACGCGAAAAACCUUACCUACCCUUGACAUGUCACUAACGAAGUAGAGAUACAUUAGGUGCCCGUAAGGGAAA
RNAcentral lists this ribosomal RNA (312 nucleotides) under uncultured beta proteobacterium. RNAcentral's name for it is "bacterial SSU rRNA". It matches the Rfam family "Bacterial small subunit ribosomal RNA", at positions 718 to 1028 of the family's 1533-position model. Lineage: Bacteria; Pseudomonadati; Pseudomonadota; Betaproteobacteria. The record is from RNAcentral.